Molecule: non-coding RNA, 1085 nt
Organism: Pelobates cultripes (western spadefoot toad)
Lineage: Eukaryota; Metazoa; Chordata; Amphibia; Anura; Pelobatidae
Source: the annotation of a GenBank genome assembly
AUUCAACAUUGUUGGAAACCUUUACAAAUGAUUUAACUAUAAAAAUUCCUAUACACUUUAAUGAUUUAAAAUGUAGAUAAAUCACUUUAAAAGUUUUCUAAUAGUAUUGAAUUGUUUGCAAAGCUUAUUAAAUCGAGCCCAUCAAUGGCAUUAAACCUGUAACAUGACAUCGCCCAUUGUUACUGUCACAAUAACAUUCUAUGGAAACAUUUGUCACUCUCUGCCUUACUGAAACCUCCCCUGACAUCGGUAGGUUAAUACCCGCCCUCCCCAUACUGGCGUUAUCCCCGGCGUUAUCCUAUAACUAUUUCUAUAUUCUUAUUUUUAUCUCAUUGAUGGUUUGAUUAGCUGUAUGUCCAAGACCUUCAUAGUUUGAUUGUGUGUUACGGCUUGUUCAAAUAUUGGGAAUAAAACCAUUAUGAAUGACAGAGGAGCAAUCAGUACAAUUUAAAUCCCAUUCAUUCAUUUUAAUUAAAUUAAGUGAAUCAUAUUUUUCAGACUAUUUAAUAUCUGGCUCUGAUCUUGGCAAAGAUUAUUUUUAAUUGUAAAUAUGAGCCCGUUUUUAAUUCCAUUAGGUUUUUAUAUAGAAUUACCUAUUGUUUAAUUAAUCCAUUAACAGCUGUCGCUAGUCAUAGAUCCCCUGUAUAUCUGCGCUCAGUAACGCUGAUUGAUCGGAUAAUGCUAAACAUUUUGGGGUUCAUGUUAAGGAUUUGUCUCUGACACAAUAUUAUUCCAGUGACCUCGCUGGCAAACAUUGUCAUUACAAGGCUGAACAUACAGUAUCGAUAUAACUGAAAUGAAAUAUACUUUUUUUAAAACAUUUUUUACAGAAUACUGAAUAAAUUUUUUGGAAAAAAAUGAAUUGGUUUUAUUGUUAAAUGAGCAAAGAUAUAAAUAAACAAUGGAAAAAAUAACCAUUCAUUUUAUUAACCGCUUCAGGACGGAGUCAAUAGUACACGUUCUGAUCAAAACAAAAUGUAAACAAAAAGUGGAAUUUGCGCUACAUGUCUGUUCAACCGUAAUUCACCUCUUUCAUGUUGAGUACACCCACACUUAUUAUAUAUCAUUUUAUUCAGGAGAAACAG